CCUACGGGGGGCUGCAGUAGGGAAUAUUGCGCAAUGGGGGAAACCCUGACGCAGCAACGCCGCGUGAGUGAGGAAGGUCUUCGGAUUGUAAAACUCUUUUAUUAGGGAAAAAUGUCUUAGUGGCUAAUAUCCAUUAAGAGUGAUGGUACCUAAGGAAUAAGGACCGGCUAACUUCGUGCCAGCAGCCGCGGUAAUACGAAGGGUCCAAGCGUUGUUCGGAAUCAUUGGGCGUAAAGCGCGCGCAGGCGGAUCAGCAAGUCAGGUGUGAAAUCUCG
Molecule: ribosomal RNA, 275 nt
Filed under: uncultured Peredibacter sp.
Lineage: Bacteria; Pseudomonadati; Bdellovibrionota; Bacteriovoracia; Bacteriovoracales; Bacteriovoracaceae
Description: partial 16S ribosomal RNA
Rfam family: Bacterial small subunit ribosomal RNA
Source: RNAcentral